UACGUAGGGUGCGAGCGUUAAUCGGAAUUACUGGGCGUAAAGCGUGCGCAGGCGGUUCGUUGUGUCCGUCGUGAAAGCCCCGGGCUUAACCUGGGAACUGCGAUGGAAACUAGCGAGCUGGAGUGUGGCAGAGGGGGGUGGAAUUCCGCGUGUAGCAGUGAAAUGCGUAGAGAUGUGGAGGAACACCGAUGGCGAAGGCAGCCCCCUGGGCCAAUACUGACGCUCAUGCACGAAAGCGUGGGGAGCAAACAGG
This 253-nucleotide ribosomal RNA is filed under the name uncultured bacterium. RNAcentral describes it as "partial 16S ribosomal RNA". It matches the Rfam family "Bacterial small subunit ribosomal RNA", at positions 524 to 776 of the family's 1533-position model. The record is from RNAcentral.